GAUGAACGCUGGCGGCGUGCCUAAUACAUGCAAGUCGAGCGAACAGACGAGGAGCUUGCUCCUCUGACGUUAGCGGCGGACGGGUGAGUAACACGUGGAUAACCUACCUAUAAGACUGGGAUAACUUCGGGAAACCGGAGCUAAUACCGGAUAAUAUAUUGAACCGCAUGGUUCAAUAGUGAAAGACGGUUUUGCUGUCACUUAUAGAUGGAUCCGCGCCGCAUUAGCUAGUUGGUAAGGUAACGGCUUACCAAGGCGACGAUGCGUAGCCGACCUGAGAGGGUGAUCGGCCACACUGGAGCUGAGACGCGGUCCAGACUCCUACGGGAGGCAGCAGUAGGGAAUCUUCUGCGAUGGGCGAAAGCCUGACGGAGCAACGCCGCGUGAGUGAUGAAGGUCUUCGGAUCGUAAAACUCUGUUAUUAGGGAAGAACAAAUGUGUAAGUAACUAUGCACGUCUUGACGGUACCUAAUCAGAAAGCCACGGCUAACUACGUG
RNAcentral lists this ribosomal RNA (497 nucleotides) under uncultured bacterium. RNAcentral describes it as "partial 16S ribosomal RNA". It matches the Rfam family "Bacterial small subunit ribosomal RNA", at positions 28 to 507 of the family's 1533-position model. The record is from RNAcentral.